Molecule: transfer RNA, 84 nt
Filed under: Patescibacteria group bacterium
Lineage: Bacteria
Description: tRNA-Leu
Rfam family: tRNA
About the family: Transfer RNA (tRNA) molecules are approximately 80 nucleotides in length.
Source: RNAcentral
GCCCUCCUGGUGGAAUUGGCAGACACGUACGCUUCAGGUGCGUAUGUCCGCAAGGACGUAGAGGUUCAAAUCCUCUGGAGGGCA